Long non-coding RNA from Cephus cinctus (wheat stem sawfly), 2441 nucleotides. RefSeq lists it as uncharacterized. The transcript has 3 exons. The record is from RefSeq and is a predicted model, not a curated record. Lineage: Eukaryota; Metazoa; Arthropoda; Insecta; Hymenoptera; Cephidae.
GAAGGGUUAAAUAUCUCGGUCAAAUUUUAUCCUUCACACCAUAUGGGAAAGUCAUUGUCAUUGUACAGUUAUACGUAUAAAAAUCAUCAAAAUUUGUUACGCGCUACAGUAGGUGUAUUCAAAUGUAACCUCUGUCGUAAAGCCUGUAUUCAGAGUCAGCUCUUCGUUUUAAGCACGAUCUUAAGACAUCCUCCACCAUGUGUUAUUAUUACUAUAUGUACGGUCUUAAUACUGAAUACGGACCAUAGUACGUGUAUCUAGAGACUUUUUAGUCUAUGGCGAAAAACUGUACUAAAAUUUUGUACCACGCUAAAUUUACAUCGUGAACUAAUAUAUGUAUUAAUAAACAAAAUUUUUGUGUUUAUUAUAGUAUUAUACACGUUCUUUAUUAAUUUUAAUAUUUUGUCUCGUAAUAAUACAUUCCAAAAGAAACAAAGACCAAAGAAUGUACGGAGUAUAGAGUGGAACGUCGAAUAAGAAUAACAAGAUUAUAUUAGGUGCGGCGCUUCCUUUCUCCACGUGGCUUAGUUCAUGAUAUUGCGCGAGCAUUCGCAUAACCCACAAUGUCAAUGUCAAUGCCCACUCGUGAAAUGCAACCGCAUCACGAAUCAUGGAUUAUUUCUCUUGGAGAAUUCGUGAGGUAACUGAAGUGAGUGGUGGCGUGUUAUAAGAUUCGAAGAGGAAAGAAAGAAAAAAAAACAAAUGACAGCAAGGUAUCAUUCCCACUUGACAACGUAUCACCAACAAGGAUUCUGCGGAUUCUGAAUUAUCAUCAUCAUCCACGUUUUAUGGAUACUCUCAAUGACGGCGAUCUUCUCUUGACUUACUGAGAAGAGAUAACUGAUCCCACCUCAUAAGGUGUACUGAACCUGCCUAUUAUGCCGGCUUGAUGCAAGUGCAACCUUGCAAUUGAAAGUUGCAAGGUCGUCUUCGCCUCAUACUUCACUGUACGGCUCGGGACAACUUAACUCUUCUUGGAUUCUUGUGUUUCAAGCCGUCUCCGCCCCUCUCUCUCUCUCUCUCUCUCUCUCUUUCUCUCAUACGCUUUCGUUCAUUUUCUUGUUUUACGUCUCUCUCACUCAGAUUCUUAUCCCCGUACAUUUACCUUUAAAGGAUACAAUCAUAUUUUCUCUCGUCUCCGUUCAUCGGGUAAAGCCACAUUGUAAUUGAGAGAAUACUUGUAAAAUUGCAUAUGUAAAUUCCUUGCUCCUUUACUUCACUUGCAAUUUCUACCCUUGACCACUUUUCAUCGUACAAACUGACUAGGAGAGUUCAAGGUACGUUAGAUAAAAUUCUUAACUGACUUGGAUCAGUUGUAAAAAUGUUGAUGUGGAUUUAAAAAGAAAAAUUUCAUAAAAAUUGUCUGCUACUAAUACGGAUUUAGAGAUGUCACGUGCUUCUUAGAUCCCUAAUGGACCUGAUGGAUAUUUGAGGAUCAGGAUAAGAUACUUGUUAAUUGCAUUUGGACAUCUUUUUAGGCUUGCAAUUCACUUGCAAUUUUUACCCUUGACCGUCUUUACCGUACAAGUCGACUGAGAAGAUCGUCGAUCGACCUGCUUGAUAUUUGAAGAUGGAAACGAGGUUUGAGAAAAACAUUCGUUUACCGUAAAUAUCCUAUGAUCCAGACACAAUGAAGCUUUGGGAACUUUGAGAUCUGACUGUUUUCAAAUGAUCGAGUGCAAUUACGUAUUGUCAACGGAUGCGAGCUGAUAUGAAAAAAAGCGUGAGAAGUAAGAAAAAGAAAAGGCAAUAAUAUAGUACGAAAAAAGGAAAUAUCAUCUAGUGUGAGAAGUAGCCGUUGUCGACCGAUACGCCAUUGAUGAUUGUCAGACGUGAAAUUUGACUCGUAGAAAAAGUUGCGAUUCUCGAGGAAUCCGUUGGUGAGUUCGAGCACGAUCAAUGCGAAUCAACUGACGACAAUGGCCGUAGAGACUUAACGAGUAGCGAGCAUUUCCAUUGAAACUUAGAAAUACUUGAAUAUCUAAGAUAAAUUUUUUCAUCAGAAUCAUAAGGUAGAACCAAAUCAAUCUAUACAGAUACUAUAUACUUAUAUAUCAUAUAUAUAUAAAUAUAUCGACCUCAUGUAAUCAUAUGUCACCGUGAGGCUUAACGCUCAUAUCAGUCUUAACUACCAAUAUGUAUACACGUUGUGAAGAGUUCAAUGGCAAUGAAUUGCAUAAAACAUGAACCUCUAUCUAUAUACAGUUUCACUGAUUUCUCGUAUCAAAUACACUUACUCAAAAUACACCGUAUAGAUUUUACUAAAGGAACUUAAGACCGACCAAUGACUCGAAAUUCCUAGGAAAUAUUUAAAAAAUCCCAAAAAUAAGUUUUUUUUUCAAUCAACAUAAAUCAGUUGCACCUCUAUCGUUAUUGAAGUUAAUUAUUGAAUUGAAUAUCGUAGCCUGAAUUAAUUUAUAAAGAUACAAAAUUUCUUCAUU